AGUACAUAACAUGUUGUAUACAUGUAAAAUAUGAUCGAUUUUGAAUAAAUAUAUGAAAUAUGUGAAAAUAGUUAAAAGCUAAAGAGGCAAUCCGUAGCCUCUGAAUAAAAGCUUUAAGAGGAAGCGAUAUAAAAUAAAGAAAAGUGUUAAAAAAUUAAUUUAAAAAGUAUUUGCAACGAGAAAUCAAAAGUGCCAAAAUGAAAAUUGAGUCAAAUCAAAAUAUUUAGCUUCAAAUAAAAUCAUCAGAAAAAGUGCUGUAAUGUUCCGGAAAUGCAUGCCUACAUAUACAUAUGUACGUGUACGUGUACAUCACCGCAAAGAAUAACUUCAAUCAACUACGACAACUUUAUUACCAUCAUGACUACAACACUCACAAUGUUCAGUUGCCAGCAGCUAGCAGUAAACGGGUAUAACGGAUCUGCAUCUGCAAGAAAUAUGGUGCAGGCACACACAGAGAAAAUCAUUGAAAACUGAAAUUAUGAAAUGAGCAAUCAUUGACACCAGAGAGCACUCAGCAGAACUGAAUUGAAUUGGAAAAAGAAGAAAAUUGUCAAAAAUGCAAAUUCACAUAUACAAAUGCAAUAAACGCAGAGCAAAAUAGCAGCGCUUUGGCGGCAGAAAUUGAUAGUCAGUAACAGCGACAAAAAUUUGUAGUGGCAAAAACAAAACCAAACAUUCGAUGCUCAGUUGCUGUGUAUGGAAAGCAUUCACAUGACAGCGAGAUGUGCUUUUAUAUGUAAGUAACAAAAAGGCAGUAAAUCAGUCAUAAAAAGAUGAAAUAACCAGGCCAUGAAUAAACAUUUUUCUUAUACAAUGCAUCCAUUAUAUUGCACAACACUGUAUAUGUAUAAAAGAGGUGUGCACACUUUUGGCCCGCAUAGCUGAGAAAUUCCCAAUUGUGCCAACAGCAGUUGCAUUCGCCUCGAGCAGCAGUAACUUUAACAAUAGCAGUGUGAAUGGGACAUAUGGAAAGCAACUGUUGCACUGACACUUUUAACUCACAAUCCGCUGCCGCUGCCACUGCCACUGACAUAGACACUGACACCAGCACUGGCAAUGUCGCCUGUCGCCUGUCGCUUGUCAUUUUUGUGUCAUUUGCCCACAGAGCGAUUUCGCAUUUGCAUAUUAAGUAUUUUACUGUGAAUUUUGCGCUUUGUUUUGUUUCUAACUGUGUUGAAUACUACCCGUUGAAUGCAUUGGAAAGCUGUGCAACUGAACGAGCGAACGAGA
Molecule: long non-coding RNA, 1230 nt
Organism: Rhagoletis pomonella (apple maggot)
Lineage: Eukaryota; Metazoa; Arthropoda; Insecta; Diptera; Tephritidae
Exons: 4
Source: RefSeq, a predicted model, not a curated record